UCCUUUUUUUAUUUUUUUUUUAACCAUAAAUCAGCACAAUAAAAUGUUUGCACGUAAAUCCAGAACUUUUUAUUACUUUUCAACCACACAUUCUCCAAAAAAUCACUAUUCUAAACUCAUAUACCCCAAAAAACUCCUUUUUAAUGGCUACUGAACAGAGGCUUUAUCUGAAGGUAAUAUUUAUUGUUUAAUGGAUAACCAUAUUAUGCCCUUGCUUGAGCCCCAUUAUAUCAAAAAUUUAUCUUUUCAAAACUCAUUUUUAACCAUAUUUUCCAAUAAAAUAAUUUUACAUUAAAUCGAAGCACAUUCUCCCAAAAAACUCUAUUCCAAAAUACAUUUUCCCCCAAAAUGGGGCUCAAAUGAGGGCUACUGAAUCAUUUGAAUGAGUUACAUCCAGUUUUAUUGGUACACUGGUUCUCAGCAAAAUAUCGACUAUUUGUAACUUUUUGUUUCCAAACAUGUUUGGAUGAGGUUUCUUUUUCUUAUAAAUGAAAAAACCUCGCUUCAUUGGAGAGGAAGGAUGGGAUUACACUCAAUCAAGAGCCUUUGAAGCCAUGACCAUCUCCAUAAUGAUAUAACUCUGUUGCAUACAUAUAUAGUUUGUAGAUUUUCUUUAGAUGGCAGUUUCUGUAAAUUUUAUCAAAUAGGAAAUUGUUUGAUAUAUACGCGGGCAUUACAAAACUCAAUUGCUCGUAUUUGCCCCAUGCUAAAACCUAAUGAAAAUCUAUAUCCUGAUUUCUUUAGCUGAUAGAACUAUUUCUAGUUUACUCUUUUGUUAAGUACAAUAGGUUUCUUGGAGGUGAGUUGUAAGUCCU
This 815-nucleotide long non-coding RNA is filed under the name Olea europaea subsp. europaea. The record is from RNAcentral. Lineage: Eukaryota; Viridiplantae; Streptophyta; Magnoliopsida; Lamiales; Oleaceae.